UGGGGAAUAUUGGGCAAUGGGCGAAAGCCUGACCCAGCGACGCCGCGUGGGGGAAGAAGUCUUUCGGGAUGUAAACCCUUGUUGUACGGGACGAAGGAAGUGACGGUACCGUACGAGGAAGCCCCGGCAAACUACGUGCCAGCAGCUGCGGUAAUACGGAAGGUGCAAGCGUUAGUCGGAAUUACUGGGCGUAAAGGGUGCGUAGGCGGUGAUAUAAGUCGGAUGUGAAAUUCCAAGGCUCAACCUUGGAGCUGCAUCCGAGACUGUACCACUAGAGGAAUGGCGGAGAGAAUGGAAUUCCAUAUGUAGCGGUGAAAUGCGUAGAUAUAUGGAAGAACACCCGUGGCGAAAGCGGUUCUCUAGCCUUCUCCUGACGCUGAGGCACGAAAGCAAGGGGAGCAAACA
This 405-nucleotide ribosomal RNA is filed under the name uncultured prokaryote. RNAcentral's name for it is "bacterial SSU rRNA". It matches the Rfam family "Bacterial small subunit ribosomal RNA", at positions 355 to 774 of the family's 1533-position model. The record is from RNAcentral.